GAUGAACGCUGGCGGCGUGCCUAAUACAUGCAAGUCGAGCGAACGGACGAGAAGCUUGCUUCUCUGAUGUUAGCGGCGGACGGGUGAGUAACACGUGGAUAACCUACCUAUAAGACUGGGAUAACUUCGGGAAACCGGAGCUAAUACCGGAUAAUAUUUUGAACCGCAUGGUUCAAAAGUGAAAGACGGUCUUGCUGUCACUUAUAGAUGGAUCCGCGCUGCAUUAGCUAGUUGGUAAGGUAACGGCUUACCAAGGCAACGAUGCAUAGCCGACCUGAGAGGGUGAUAGGCCACACGGGAACUGGGACACGGUCCAGACUCCUACGGGAGGCAGCAGUAGGGAAUCUUCCGCAAUGGGCGAAAGCCUGACGGAGCAACGCCGCGUGAGUGAUGAAGGUCUUCGGAUCGUAAAACUCUGUUAUUAGGGAAGAACAUAUGUGUAAGUAACUGUGCACAUCUUGACGGUACCUAAUCAGAAAGCCACGGCUAACUACGUG
RNAcentral lists this ribosomal RNA (497 nucleotides) under uncultured bacterium. RNAcentral describes it as "partial 16S ribosomal RNA". It matches the Rfam family "Bacterial small subunit ribosomal RNA", at positions 28 to 507 of the family's 1533-position model. The record is from RNAcentral.